AUUGAACGCUGGCGGCAGGCUUAACACAUGCAAGUCGAGCGGAGUGAUGGUGCUUGCACUAUCACUUAGCGGCGGACGGGUGAGUAAUGCUUAGGAAUCUGCCUAUUAGUGGGGGACAACAUUCCGAAAGGAAUGCUAAUACCGCAUACGUCCUACGGGAGAAAGCAGGGGAUCUUCGGACCUUGCGCUAAUAGAUGAGCCUAAGUCGGAUUAGCUAGUUGGUGGGGUAAAGGCCUACCAAGGCGACGAUCUGUAGCGGGUCUGAGAGGAUGAUCCGCCACACUGGGACUGAGACACGGCCCAGACUCCUACGGGAGGCAGCAGUGGGGAAUAUUGGACAAUGGGGGGAACCCUGAUCCAGCCAUGCCGCGUGUGUGAAGAAGGCCUUAUGGUUGUAAAGCACUUUAAGCGAGGAGGAGGCUCUUUUGGUUAAUACCCAAGAUGAGUGGACGUUACUCGCAGAAUAAGCACCGGCUAACUCUGUGCCAGCCGCCGCGGUAA
RNAcentral lists this ribosomal RNA (501 nucleotides) under uncultured bacterium. RNAcentral describes it as "partial 16S ribosomal RNA". It matches the Rfam family "Bacterial small subunit ribosomal RNA", at positions 30 to 523 of the family's 1533-position model. The record is from RNAcentral.